This 468-nucleotide ribosomal RNA is filed under the name uncultured bacterium. Its description in RNAcentral is "partial 16S ribosomal RNA". It matches the Rfam family "Bacterial small subunit ribosomal RNA", at positions 28 to 507 of the family's 1533-position model. The record is from RNAcentral.
GACGAACGCUGGCGGCGUGCUUAACACAUGCAAGUCGAACGGAAAGGCCCUGCUUUUGUGGGGUGCUCGAGUGGCGAACGGGUGAGUAACACGUGAGUAACCUGCCCUUGACUGUGGGAUAACUUCAGGAAACUGGGGCGAAUACCGGAUAGGAGCUCCUGCUGCAUGUUGGGGGUUGGAAAGUGUCGGCGGUUGGGGAUGGACUCGCGGGUUAUCAGCUUGUUGGGGGGGUAGUGGCUUACCAAGGUUUUGACGGGUAGCCGGCCUGGGAGGGUGACCAGCCACAUUGGGACUAAGAUACGGCCCAGACUCCUACGGGAGGCAGCAGUGGGGAAUAUUGCACAAUGGGCGGAAGCCUGAUGCAGCAACGCCGCGUGCGGGAUGACGGCCUUCGGGUUGUAAACCGCUUUCGCCUGUGACGAAGCGUGAGUGACGGUAAUGGGUAAAGAAGCACCGGCUAACUACGUG